Molecule: microRNA precursor, 205 nt
Filed under: Oryza rufipogon (brownbeard rice)
Lineage: Eukaryota; Viridiplantae; Streptophyta; Magnoliopsida; Poales; Poaceae
Description: MIR812 microRNA precursor family
Rfam family: MIR812 microRNA precursor family
Source: Rfam by way of RNAcentral
AAAAAGGCAAACCCUGGGUUUCCGUGUCCAACUUUGACUGUCCGUCUUAUAUGAAAUUUUUUUAUAAUUCGUAUUUUAAUUGUUGUUAGAUGAUAAAAUAUGAUUAAUAUUUUAUGCGUGACUUGUCUUUUUAAUUUUUUUCAUAUUUUUUUCAAAUAAGACGGACGGUCAAACGUUGGGCAUGGAAACCAGGGUUUGUCUUUUU